AUGGUCGAAGGCUCGGAGAUGGACAUCGCCAACCUCAAGUUCCUCCUUCUAUGCUUCCAACAGAUGUCGGGUCUCAAGAUCAACUUUGAUAAGAGCGACGUCAUGGUAAUGGGAUACUCCCCCGCUGAGUCUCUGGCCAUCACCAAUCGGCUUAAUUGCCGCCUGGGCUCUUUCCCCACCUCCUACUUAGGGACCCCCAUUAGCGACUCACGCCUUUCUGCAGCGGACUUGAGGCCCGCUAUCUCUAAGCUCCAGUCCCGGUGUGAGCCCUGGCAGGGGAGAUGGCUCUCCAAGGCGGCCCGAACUAUUCUUAUCAACUCUUCUCUCUCUAGCCUGCUGAUGUUCCUUAUGAGCUUCUAUAGCCUCCAUGAGUCCCUACAUAAGGAGAUCGCUAAGAUCCAGUCUCGCUUCUACUUGGCUGGUGAGCAUGAUAAGCAGAAGUACCACAUGGUCAGCUGGCCUGACAUCUGCAAGCCCCGGGAGCAAGGUGGCCUGGGCAUCAUGUGCUCCAAGCGGAUGAACAUCACGCUCCUCUCCCGCUGGCUCUGGCGCAUCGCCCAGGGCCAUGGCGGCCUCUGGUUG
This 582-nucleotide ribosomal RNA is filed under the name Triticum aestivum (bread wheat). Its description in RNAcentral is "partial small subunit ribosomal RNA". Lineage: Eukaryota; Viridiplantae; Streptophyta; Magnoliopsida; Poales; Poaceae. The record is from RNAcentral.